Molecule: ribosomal RNA, 562 nt
Filed under: uncultured bacterium
Lineage: Bacteria
Description: bacterial SSU rRNA
Rfam family: Bacterial small subunit ribosomal RNA
Source: RNAcentral
CCUACGGGAGGCAGCAGUGGGGAAUUUUCCGCAAUGGGCGAAAGCCUGACGGAGCAACGCCGCGUGAGGGAUGAAGGCCUCUGGGCUGUAAACCUCUUUUAUCAAGGAAGAAGAUCUGACGGUACUUGAUGAAUAAGCCACGGCUAAUUCCGUGCCAGCAGCCGCGGUAAUACGGGAGUGGCAAGCGUUAUCCGGAAUUAUUGGGCGUAAAGCGUCCGCAGGCGGUCUUGUAAGUCUGUCGUUAAAGCGUGGAGCUCAACUCCAUUUCGGCGGUGGAAACUACAAGACUAGAGUGUGGUAGGGGCAGAGGGAAUUCCCGGUGUAGCGGUGAAAUGCGUAGAUAUCGGGAAGAACACCAGUGGCGAAGGCGCUCUGCUGGGCCAUAACUGACGCUCAUGGACGAAAGCUAGGGGAGCGAAAGGGAUUAGAUACCCCUGUAGUCCUAGCCGUAAACGAUGAACACUAGGUGUCGGGGGAAUCGACCCCCUCGGUGUCGUAGCUAACGCGUUAAGUGUUCCGCCUGGGGAGUACGCACGCAAGUGUGAACUUAAGGAAUUGACGG